GGGGAAUCUUCCGCAAUGGGCGAAAGCCUGACGGAGCAACGCCGCGUGAAUGAAGAAGGCCUUCGGGUCGUAAACUUCUUUAGUCAGGGACGAAUAAAUGACGGUACCUGAAGAAUAAGCCACGGCUAACUACGUGCCAGCAGCCGCGGUAAUACGUAGGUGGCGAGCGUUGUCCGGAAUUACUGGGUGUAAAGGGCGUGUAGGCGGGAAUGUAAGUCAGAUGUGAAAUCCCAGGGCUUAACUCUGGAGCUGCAUCUGAAACUAUGUUUCUUGAGUGUCGGAGAGGAAAGCGGAAUUCCUAGUGUAGCGGUGAAAUGCGUAGAUAUUAGGAGGAACACCAGUGGCGAAGGCGGCUUUCUGGACGAUAACUGACGCUGAGGCGCGAAAGCGUGGGGAGCAAACA
RNAcentral lists this ribosomal RNA (403 nucleotides) under uncultured Clostridium sp. RNAcentral describes it as "bacterial SSU rRNA". It matches the Rfam family "Bacterial small subunit ribosomal RNA", at positions 356 to 774 of the family's 1533-position model. The record is from RNAcentral. Lineage: Bacteria; Bacillati; Bacillota; Clostridia; Eubacteriales; Clostridiaceae.